ACAGUUUACAGAGGGUGGUGUGGUCGACGAUUAGCUAAAUGGCCAAAGGUUGGAGACUCGUCAUUGACAUAGUCGGGACCCUCUCGGAUGGUGUAGGAGAGCUCAUUGAACUCCAGGUCCACAGCAGAGCGACGUGGGAGGUGGGAGAAGCGCUGGGCCUCGGUGAUGUGGUUCUCCACUUUCUUCAGGUGGACGAGCAGCGGCGCCUCCUGAGGUGCUCCGGUGAGAGCUUUGGUCUCCUCCAUGGGAAUGCUGACCGAGCCCGGCUCCUGCGUCUUCUCGGCCAUCGUGAAAGGCUGCAUGGGGAGAACACACGUGUCAGAUUUAAAACUUGUUUUUAAAGCUCACCUCCUCUCUCCUGCUUCACAAGAACAUGUAUCAUUGUUCUCCAUCAAUUCGGCCUCAUAAUGCUACAGUUUCCAACACUUUUUCAAAAGAAAAAUCAUUCAAACUUCCAUCUCUUUCGAUAUAAACAUACAGAAUGGUUAGAGUGUGGCUGUCACGUGUCAAGUGCUUUAGGAUUUCAUUAAAUAAGAAUUGAUGAAGAUA
Platichthys flesus (European flounder) is the source of this 549-nucleotide long non-coding RNA. RefSeq lists it as uncharacterized. NCBI's taxonomy places the organism in Eukaryota, Metazoa, Chordata, Actinopteri, Pleuronectiformes, Pleuronectidae. The transcript has 2 exons. The record is from RefSeq and is a predicted model, not a curated record.